Molecule: ribosomal RNA, 253 nt
Filed under: uncultured bacterium
Lineage: Bacteria
Description: partial 16S ribosomal RNA
Rfam family: Bacterial small subunit ribosomal RNA
Source: RNAcentral
UACAGAGGUCUCAAGCGUUGUUCGGAUUCAUUGGGCGUAAAGGGUGCGUAGGCGGCGCGGUAAGUCGGGUGUGAAAGUCACAGGCUCAACCUGUGAAUGCCGCUGGAAACUGUCUGGCUAGAGUCCGGAAGGGGCGAGUGGAAUUCCUGGUGUAGCGGUGAAAUGCGCAGAUAUCAGGAGGAACACCAAUGGCGAAGGCAGCUCGCUGGGACGGUACUGACGCUGAGGCGCGAAAGCGUGGGGAGCAAACAGG